RNAcentral lists this unclassified non-coding RNA (259 nucleotides) under Melitaea cinxia (Glanville fritillary). RNAcentral describes it as "misc RNA ENSMCXG00005016189.1". Lineage: Eukaryota; Metazoa; Arthropoda; Insecta; Lepidoptera; Nymphalidae. The record is from RNAcentral.
CUGUUGAUCCUAUGGAGAUGCUUGAUAAAUCAAAAUAUGUUUAUUUAUUACUAGCCGUGAACGCGACUUCGUCUGCGUGGAAUUUAACAAAAAAGUUAUUGUUCAGUUCGCGUAGUUAUAAAAAAAAUAAAUUUCUAAAAUAAAAGUAGCUUAAGUUACUCCUUAUUACAUCAGUUAUCUGCCAGUGAAAGUCCCGUCAAAAUCGGUCCAGCCAUGGAGCAUAGAGAAAUGAAGAAAUGAGAAUUCUAUGCUCCAUGGG